GGGGCGGCGCCAGCCGCCCCGCGUCGCUUCGGUUCGGGAGCUGACUGGGGAGCUGCGUGUGAGCUGCGUGUGAACUCAGAGGGAUGCAUGGGUUGAGCCCAUGUUGGGUACUCUGGGCGCACACGGUUUCACACGGUUGACCAGGACCUCGCGGGGCGGAGCCAGCCGCCCCGCGCCUGGAUGCGACCUAUGUGCGAAGGAAACACGUGCGGUUGAGCGGCGAGCUUUGCACGUCGCGGCGGAGCGUUUGACUCCCCCAGUCGGGCGAGUUGGAUCUGAGCGCACACGGUUGUCACACGGUUGACACCGGGACCCCUGCGGGGCAGCGUCAGCCGCCCCGCUGCGCUGAGAAGCCCCAAUGAGCCCGCGGGAUGGCGUGGCAGGGCGGGCUAGUGGAGUGCAGCCACGCGUGCGGCGGUACAGACCCGAAAUCAGCCCCUGCACCCAGCUAUAAGUAUUGAUACCCGAAUGUUGUCGUUGCCUGCACCUACGUUUGCGCGCUUCUUAGCGGGGGGUGCCCCCCCGUGCAUCCCCCCUCCAGCAGGCGGAGGGACAGCCUCCCCCCUGCUCCCCCCUCCCAUCCGAAGCAUCCCCGCAUGCCAGCUCCCGUAAGCCCUGCGCCAAAGCAUAUAUCUUAGAAGAAGCUUGGGGAGGGGGGUGCAGGGGGGAGGGUGUCCCUCCCCACGCUAGGCCGAGGAGCACGGAUCGGGGGGAGGGGGGGCGCGGUUGUCGCCGAGCUGCCACGAGUUUGCAGCGCAUCCGCGCAUGUUUGCAGCACUUCGCAACUGUGCAUGAAUUCGCGCCCCAAUGAUAUCAACGUUAUUGCUUUGCGCAUCUCGCAUCAUCAUCGGCCCAAUCCCCUGACACAUAGUUACGUUACUUACAUACAUAGAAACAUUCCAAGAGGAGAACCUCCAUAUUGAUGAGAAUUGGGGGACUCAUUCGUGACUGUGACCGCCUGCCAAGGAAGCUACUGUAUAUGUAGAUAGCUGGGCUAAAGAGCCUGUGUAACCAAAAGAAAAUAUGCAAAAAAAAUGUUUCAGCAGGGCGGCACGCGCAGAGAAUGCCAGGCAUGCCAAGCUGGUCCGCGAUCUUGCGAAAGAGUUUGGCAAGGACGCGACCUGGCAGCUGGCCGCUAUGGACGCCUUGAGAAAGGCAAAUCCUGACGAACUUGAGUUGAUGCACGGCCUCACCGCGGCCAAAACGCUGGAGUUUGUGGAUGCCCUUAUUCAGUUUAAGAGUAGGUCAGGGAAUUAUGGGCGCUCAAGCCCGGAUUGGCGGUGGAGAUCCGUUCGAGAAGCUUGUACAGUUGUAGUCGGGAGGUUGUAUCUUCAUGCGUUCCGGGCGAGCUCCUCAAGCUUUUGGUCCUGCGGCUUGAUUCACCACGUGACCCCCGACCGCUAUUACCAUGUCGUGCAGCCUCGGCGGCUGGCCUGGGCGUGGGGAGCGCGUCCGGAGCUGGUGAGUUAGAGUUAUCUGUCCCGUGGGACCUGCUCCCGUACGCGCAGCUGGAGUUGAACGGCCGGUACAGCAACGCGGUACCGGAGCCGGUCGGCCGGUGGGUGUACCGUGCUGACGCCCGCCGCGCCCGCCGCAGCAACAGCACCAGCAGCAUCACCAGCAGCGGUAGCACAGGCGCUGGCAUAAGCACUCGCUGCGCUAGCAGCGCCAGAGACAUCAGCAGCGAGCGCGUGGUUGUGCGCUUCGUGCGGCGUUACGGCGCCGACGCGCACCGCGCCUGGGCGGCGGCGGGGCUGGCGCCGGCUCUGUACGCGGUGCGACCGCUGGCUGGCGACUGGCUGCUGCUCGAGAUGGAGCUGUUGUCAAAGGAGGCGGGCUGGGUCAACCUCGCCCAACUGGUGGUGGCGGCGGCGGACGCUGCCGCGGCUGCUGCUGCUGCUGCUGCGCGCGGUGGCGCCGGCGGCGGCGGCGCAACGGCGGCGGCGGCGGCGGGAGGACGCGAUGGCGCGAGCUGGGCGGCGGCGGACGGAACAAUCCCGGCUCUGGCAGCUAUGCAGCGCGCGGUAGCGUCUGUGCGCGCGGCGCUGGACCGGGCUCACGCCGUGCAGUCGGCCAGGCGCGGCCGGGGCCCGGGGCGGGCCGUGGUGUUCGCGCACGGCGACGUGCGGCCGCAGAACAUCAUGGUGCGGCUGCAGGAAGGAGGCAGAGCCGGCCUCGGCGCUGGCGGCGGCAGCGAUGAAAGCAGUGCCGACGCUGGCGGCGGCGGCGUUGGCGGUGAAGGGUACGACGUGCGCUUCCUCGACUUCGAGGUGGGUGUCUGGAUGUGCGGGUGCGGCUGCAUUCUUCAGCCGGUAGGGUCAGACGUGGGGUUCCGGCCAGCAGUCGGCCAUUAUCUGGCUUACACUGCUGCGCCCUACCUACGUACGCUGCUGCGCCCUGCCUACCAACGCUGCUGCGCCCUACCUACAUCGCUGCGCCCACGCGUACACGCACCACCCCGCGGUGUGUCCCCGAUCGCCCACUCGCCCCUGCCACCUGCCCCACCCCCGCCCCUUGCCGGCCAACGCUGCUGCACGCAGUUUGCUGGCGCGGUCGGCGCCGCACGCUACCCGCCGUCCCUGAACAUGGUGCGGAUGGAGGCCGGCGCGAGUGCAUGCAUCGGCCUGUUGCUGUACAGUAAAGUGCGGUACAGUACGAUACCGUGCGCGUAAUGUGUUUUGUCCCGCCCUCUCAUCACUUCUCCGUCAGCUCCGUCAGGCGCCAGUUCUUAAAUGGAGACGCUGGUCCCCUUCUUGCAGUUGCUGCAAUUCACGGCAACGUAGCUCCCGCCUGAUCGCAUGACCGACCUCUCGAUGUAGCUUUACUUCCCGCACUGUUUGUUGGUACAACCUCCACCGGGUAUCACACCAACCACCAACUUCUGCUGUCGCCGUUGCGCAAUUCCUCCUCCAGCCCAACAUUUGCAUGCAGGUCACGCACUCAGCUCUUGCACCACAGAAUUUAUGCACUUAUAUGCAACUUUAUAUCGUCGCGCGACGGUCAGGCUACUGGUUACCUAGCGGCACUAGCGGUGUCUGCCACCCUGCUGAUACCAGGCGCAGCUGCUAGCCCGUCUUGACCUGGCCUUGAGUCUCAACGUGCGUGUGCGUGUGCGUAGCAGUACACGAAACAAAAAGACAUUCCAGGAUAUAAACGCCGCAUGCUUGGCCCCGACACGCAAUUCACAGCAGAUCCAGGCCGGAAAGGCCUCCCUCUGCUCUCCCUCCACCAUACCCUCACCCACCCCACCGUAGCGUAGCGACUCAGGCAGCGUGUCGGUCGAGCUGCGCUCGACCCGCGGCAGCUGCGGGUCCUCGACCCAGCCGGUGAUCUGGCCAGGCAUAGUAUGGGAUACUUUAUGGCUUUGCAAAGCAUAAAACAAUGCACACUGAGCGGAUACCGGUAGGCGCGCAAGUUGGCCCACCCAUACCACAUACAGUACUCGUGGCGAUUUGUGCGCCGUCACCGGCCUCUCCCCCUUGUUCAUUGUCCGCCGUCUGUGCCCGGCCUGCACCCGCUUCCUGGAGUCGAGCGAUCAACGCCAGCCUGUCAUGCCACGUGCCUGUCCCUCAGCCCCGUUGCCAGUAGUUCUGUUGCUUGCGGUAUUGUGAUGCACGGAACCCUUCUACCCACGACAUUACUGCAGGACGUCGCCUGGCCAGCCGGCGUGGAGUUCGACGCGCCGGUGCUGCAGGAGCACGACACCGCGCUGCUAUCCUUAAGCAUCGAGCAGAUGUGGCUGCGGGCGGCGAGCACCGCGCCUCAGCCGCAGCCGCAGCUGCAGUUGCCGCAGUGGCUCCAGCAAUGGCGGGGUGCCGGAACGGCAGCGUCUGCUGCUGCCGCUGCUGCAGCCGGCGCGCCCGCUGCCGACGGAAGUGGCGUUGAGGCAAGGGACAGCGGUAGCGCGCCCAGCGCGAGCCGGCGAGGCAGCAGGCGGCGCGGUCAGCAGCAGCAGCAGCAGCAGCAGCAGCAGCAGCAGCAGCGCGGCUCGCCGCCUGCUAGCAGCACGGCCAACGCCCCGGCGGCUGCGCCGAAGCCGCCAGAGCCCGCGGGACAAUCCUCACCGGCCAACAGCAGCGCGCCGCCUGGGCCGCCAGCAGUGGGUGAUGCCGGCCCGGCGGCUGCCGAGGGCACGGGCGGCCGCGGCCGCGGUCGGCCCCGUGGACGCAAGGGGCAGCAGGAGCAGCAGCAGCAGCAGCAGCAGCAGCAGCAGCAGCAGCAGCAGGGCGGGCCUGCUGCCGGCCGAGGCAUGGGCGGCGGCGACCGCGGCCGCGGUGGCCGCGGCCCCAAGCCACCCGCAUGCUUCUGCGUGCGGGCGACGGCAGCCGCGGCGGCGCCGGCCGUUUCGGCGCGCGCCCUGGCGAGGCCGUUGGUCGCCCGCCCCCUGAGGGCUGCUGUGUGGCUGUAGACUGCGUCAGUGUUGCGGCUGGCAUCUUGCCUAACAGGGUGGCGUUUUAGUGGGCGGAAUGGCGCAAUGGAGCAGCGCAACUACUGGAACAGCUCUUCGUGCACUAGAUUGAUGCAGGGGGGAAAGGAAAGGACCUGGUGGCGCGUUUCGCAGUGAUGAAGGCGGGAAAGGAAAGAAGCUUUAUUAAAGGUUCUCGGGGAAGAGUGCACUGGUGUGGGACGCAUGGGCCCCACUGGCCAUUACCACAUGUAGCAGUAGUCUGCAGCGGACAUACGGCGGCUAGUCCCGCUGCCAGCGGACAACACUGAAAGUCUGCGGGUGGUGACAAGUGUUCCCCGGUCACGGGAAAAGGGGCUGAGCCCCUCCACAGUCUGAGGCCAAACAACCUCAUCGCCGGGACAUAGCCGGGGUCGGUUUCCACAGGCACAUAGCCAAACCAGGUGCCUAGCAAUUGCGAUGCCAGCGGAAAAUCGUAAUGCGGGGUUAUUGGCUUUGUCGCCGCAACCUGCACGGAUGUUUAUGCUUAACCUUGAACCAUCACUGCCGGGCAAUGCUUGUUAAGGGCUGCGCGCUUUGCCGAAGGACUCAUCUACUAAACUUGCACUUGCGUGAACAUGGCCAGACGGGCGGUGUAUGAGUAGCGUUGGCGGCAGCUGCUGGGCAGCUGUGCAUUGACAUGUGGGUGGCACUCUGGCACUGCGAGAGGAGGAGUGGGGCUUGGGGGCAUGGGUUUUUUGCAGAGCCAUUGAAACAUCUGUUGUUGUAGCAGAGCCCGCAUGGGAUCCAGACACGGUGAGAGGCACGGCCGGUGGGCAAGUUGCAAGGGCUUGACGCAGCUUGCGCUGUUGCAAUGGGGCAGGGACGCGCACUUGAUACUGGGAAGUGUGCUGCCGAAGGCCAUGGCCUGGACGCAUGUGGAACUUAGGGUACAGCGAUUGGUCCCAGCGGUGCGGCGGGCCAGUCGGCCAAGGACUGACUGCAGCGCAAGGCGCGGACAGGGAUAGGAGGCGUCGUGACAGGGUACGCCGGUUAGAGCUUUUUGACGUGCUUGAAAAACGCAACACGCACAAGCGAACAUGACGUUGUAGAGCCGAGGCCAGUGAGCUAGCACAAGCAAAAGGAAAAGCAGGGGAGGACUGGAGGACUGGAAGAGGAGGAGAUGAUGUUACAGAAGCGGCGUGCCAAGUAUUUCUCCUGCGGUCAGUAGGCGGGCUGCUGGGCCCAUAUAUUUUUAGUCGCCACCGCACACGGCAAGCCAAGUGACCCCACCCACACCCGCAUGCAGAGACUAUGUUGCAAUUCACGCGCCUAACGCGGCGCACGGCCUGCUGCUAAUCAGCAAUCACCGGCUCCUGUUCAGCUAACACCUGCCUGAUAAGAUGCCAAAUGAACUGCUCGCUGCCUGAUAUGCAAUCAUCCGCGUGCCCCCCAGCGCCUAUCAUGCAUUCCCGCGAGUCCCACCCGCGCACCGCGGCUUCUCAGCGCAGCGAGGCGGCUGACGCUGCCCCGCGAGGGUCCCGGUGUCAACCGUGUGACAACCGUGUGCGCUCAGAUCCAACUCGGCCGACCGGGGGAGUCAAACGCUCCGCCGCGACGUGCAAAGCUCGCCGCUCAACCGCACGUGUUUCCUUCGCACAUAGGUCGCGCUCAUCUGCAUCCACGCGCGGGGCGGCGGGCUCCGCCCCGCGAGGUCCUAGUCAACCGUGUGAAACCGUGUGCGCCCAGAGUACCCAACAUGGGCUCAACCCCAUGCAUCCCUCCGAGUUCACUUGCAGCUCACACGCAGCUCCCCAGUCAGCUCCCGAACCGAAGCGACGCGGGGCGGCUGGCUCCGCCCCGCGAUGGUCCCAGUGUCAGCCUUGUGAAUCCGUGUGCGCUCAGAGGCAGCUCAUGGAAACAGGGUCAACCCCAUGCGUGUCUCUGAGUUUACACGCAGCUCACGCGCAGCUUCCCAAACGGCGCGCGCACGACUUUGCACUCCCACUCGCGCGCCGCGCCAAUCACGAGCCUCCGCCGUACUCUGCCGCAGCUUUCCAUCCACACGCGCCCCUGCAAAACUACCCACUCCCACUCGCGUGCCUGCCGACUAGCGCCAACUGCCCGUGUGCAACUGCUUCCUCACAGUCGCAGCUGCCGACUCCCAAGUCAACGCCUGUACGGCUGAGGGGGUUCGGGGUGCCGUACACGAGUUAGUUGGGGGUUAGUCGGAGCUGUCCUAGAACCUGGAUUACACUGUUUUGUGGUGGGGUUUGAGCUACGUCAGCUCUCCCUGGGGCUCGUCAGCGAAAGGGGUAUUCACAUGCUCGCACCAUUUCCGGCGCUGCUGGGCAUUCCACCUUGCCCAGUUAGUGAUGGACGGACACUGGAAGAAAUUAUGUGCCACGGCUGCUGUGAGUGAAGUUCUGCCAGUUGCACAGCGUGAUCGUGUAGGAACCCUAUCUGGGCGACAGCGCUGGUAUCAAGGGGAGGGCUCACACCGGCCGUGCACACACUCGCGAGGAGCAAGACAAGUUAUUCAAGUUUAUGUAGAAUGAUGCCAACCUAGAUAUCGCUCCUACGGGUUACGGGGUUUGUAGUUCAGCAGCGUACGCAACGAGGUGAGCUGCGGAGAGCUGCGCUUGCUUUGUCAGUGCCAUGCUGAGCGCACGAUAACAUAUAACUGUACCAGGUUAUCAGGACAUUCGAAUCUCAUUCCUUCUGCCAGCCUUUGCUGCAAUGCUCGCGAGCGCCGAUGGGGCGGGAACUGCCCCAAUCCCAGUCCCGACAGUAUUUUUUGACCCGCGGCGUUGACGUUCUUCACAAGCUCAUAAUCGCUGCUAUCCUCGUAGCUCUUGUUCACCACCCUUCACUAC
This 7260-nucleotide long non-coding RNA is filed under the name Chlamydomonas reinhardtii. RNAcentral describes it as "long non-coding RNA (CREI_LNC000570)". Lineage: Eukaryota; Viridiplantae; Chlorophyta; Chlorophyceae; Chlamydomonadales; Chlamydomonadaceae. The record is from RNAcentral.